Fukomys damarensis (Damara mole-rat) is the source of this 72-nucleotide non-coding RNA. Lineage: Eukaryota; Metazoa; Chordata; Mammalia; Rodentia; Bathyergidae. The record is from Rfam.
GGGGAAGUAGCUCAGUGGUAGAGCACUUGCCUAACACGCAUGAGGCCCUGGGUUCUAUUCUUAGUAUUGCAA